CCGGGACCAUCCGGUAAGGCUAAAUACUCCCGAGAGACCGAUAGCGAACCAGUACUGUGAAGGAAAGGUGAAAAGCACUUCGAAUAGAAGAGUGAAAUAGUCCCUGAAACCAUGCGCCUACAAGCGGUCGGAGCAGCUUCAGCUGUGACGGCGUGCCUUUUGCAUAAUGAACCUACGAGUUACUUUUUCCGGCAAGGUUAAGCAUCUUGAGAUGUGGAUCCGAAGCGAAAGCGAGUCUGAACAGGGCGGAUAGUCGGAAGGAGUAGACGCGAAACCAAGUGAUCUACCCUUGGGCAGGUUGAAGGUUAGGUAACACUAACUGGAGGACCGAACCGAUAAGCGUUGAAAAGCUUCCGGAUGACCUGAGGGUGGGGGUGAAAGGCUAAUCAAACUUGGAGAUAGCUCGUACUCCCCGAAAUGCAUUUAGGUGCAGCCUUGAGAGUUACUAAUGUGAGGUAGAGCGACUGAUAAGAUGCGAGGGCUUCACCGCCUAUCAAGUCUUGAUAAACUCCGAAUGCGCAUUAGUUCUAUCUCAGGAGUGAGGGCAUGGGUGCUAAGGUCCAUGUCCUAAAGGAGAAGAAUCCAGACCAUCAGCUAAGGUCCCCAAAUAAACACUAAGUUGAACUAACGAAGUCAGAUUGCUAAGACAGCUAGGAUGUUGGCUUGGAAGCAGCCAUUCAUUUAAAGAGUGCGUAACAGCUCACUAGUCGAGGAGUUUGGCGUGGAUAAUAAUCGGGCAUAAGUGUUUUACCGAAGCUAUGGGAUCCUAACGGAUCGGUAGGGGAGCAUUCCACUCAGCGUUGAAGGCGAAGCGUGAGCUUUACUGGAGCGUGUGGAAAAGCAAAUGUAGGUAUAAGUAACGAUAAAGGGGGUGAGAAACCCCCUCGCCGAAAGACUAAGGUUUCCUGAUCAACGCUAAUCGGAUCAGGGUUAGUCGGGUCCUAAGGCUCAGCCGAACGGUGAGGCCGAUGGCAGAACAGGUUAAUAUUCCUGUACUACCUAUAGGAGUGAUGUGGAGACGGAGGAGUGACAACGCCGCGGACUGACGGAAUAGUCCGUUAAAGGGUGUAGAUGUUGAUUAUCCCAGGCAAAUCCGGGAUAAGAGUCGAACCUGACAGUAUACCAAUUUCCUCGGAAAACGGUAAUAGUGCGUGUAAACAUACUCCCAAGAAAAUCCGCUAAACUUAAUCUUAUAGGUACCCGUACCGUAAACGGACACACGUAGUCGGGUUGAAUAUACUCAGGCGCUUGAGUGAAUCACGGUUAAGGAACUAGGCAAAUUGACCCUGUAACUUCGGGAUAAAGGGUCCCUACCCGGUGACGGGAGGGCGCAGAGAAUAGGUCCAGGCAACUGUUUAACAAAAACACAGGGCUGUGCAAAAUUGAAAGAUCACGUAUACAGCCUGACACCUGCCCGGUGCUGGAAGGUUAAGAGGAGAUGUCAUCGCAAGAGAAGCAUUGAAUUGAAGCCCCAGUAAACGGCGGCCGUAACUAUAACGGUCCUAAGGUAGCGAAAUUCCUUGUCGGGUAAGUUCCGACCUGCACGAAUGGUGUAAUGAUCUGGACACUGUCUCAACCGUGAGCUCAGUGAAAUUGUAGUAUCGGUGAAGAUGCCGAUUACCCGCGAUGGGACGAAAAGACCCCGUGAACCUUUACUAUAGCUUAACAUUGAAUUUGGGUAAUUGAUGUGUAGGAUAGGCCGGAGACUUUGAAGCAGGCACGCCAGUGUUUGUGGAGUCGCUGUUGAAAUACGGCCCUUUGGUUAUUUGAGUUCUAACUCGCUGAUGCGAGGACACUGUUUGGUGGGUAGUUUGACUGGGGUGGUCGCCUCCAAAAGCGUAACGGAGGCUUCUAAAGGUGCCCUCACGCCGAUUGGUAACCGGCGGUAGAGUGUAAUGGCAUAAGGGCGCUUGACUGGGAGACUUACAAGUCGAUCAGGUAGGAAACUAGAGCAUAGUGAUCCGGUGUUUCCGUAUGGAAGGGACAUCGCUCAAAGGAUAAAAGGUACUCCGGGGAUAACAGGCUGAUCCCUCCCAAGAGCUCAUAUCGACGGAGGGGUUUGGCACCUCGAUGUCGGCUCGUCACAUCCUGGGGCUGGAGAAGGUCCCAAGGGUUGGGCUGUUCGCCCAUUAAAGUGGC
RNAcentral lists this ribosomal RNA (2139 nucleotides) under human gut metagenome. RNAcentral describes it as "bacterial LSU rRNA". It matches the Rfam family "Bacterial large subunit ribosomal RNA", at positions 447 to 2597 of the family's 2925-position model. The record is from RNAcentral.